RNA transcript from Cercocebus atys (sooty mangabey), 825 nucleotides. It is a transcript of the gene named 60S ribosomal protein L21 pseudogene, with no coding region annotated. Lineage: Eukaryota; Metazoa; Chordata; Mammalia; Primates; Cercopithecidae. The transcript has a single exon. The record is from RefSeq and is a predicted model, not a curated record.
CCUCAUGAUCCACCCACUUCGGCCUCCCAAAGUGCUGAGGUUACAGGCGUGAGCCACCACACCUGACCUGAAGUGGUCUUAUACAUAAUUGUGGUCAAUAUAUAAUUGUGGUCCUAUAUAAAUAUUAUUUUGGCUGUAUAUGUGGACCCAACAAAUAGAAGAUACUUUUUAAAGGCUAAUUAAUUUGCAGUUUUGUUAAUACCUGAGCUGACUGAAUUGAUCAUGUUUUCCACUAAAUUAAUAAAAUCAACAGACUAUUUUGGCAUCGUAUCAUAAAGUUCACAGAUCGCCUUUCCGCCGGAACCGCCAUCUUCCAGUAAUUCGCCAAAAUGACUAACACAAAGGGAAAGAGGAGAGGCACCCGAUAUAUGUUCUCUAGGCCUUUUAGAAAACAUGGAGUUGUUCCUUUGGUCACGUAUAUGCGAAUCUAUAAGAAAGGUGAUAUCGUAGACAUCAAGGGAAUGGGUACUGUUCAAAAAGGAAUGCCUCACAAGUGUUACCAUGGCAAAACUGGAAGAGUCUACAAUGUUACCCAGCAUGCUGUUGGCAUUGUUGUAAACAAACAAGUUAAGGGCAAGAUUCUUGCCAAGAGAAUUAAUGUAUGUAUUGAGCACAUUAAGCACUCUAAGAGCAAGGAUAGCUUCCUGAAACGCGUGAAGGAAAAUGAUCAGAAAAAGAAAGAAGCCAAAGAGAAAGGUACCUGGGUUCAACUGAAGCGCCAGCCUGUUCCACCCAGAGAAGCACGCUUUGUGAGAACCAAUGGGAAGGAGCCUGAGCUGCUGGAACCUAUUCCUUAUGAAUUCAUGGCAUAAUAGGUGUUAAAAA